AACGAACGCUGGCGGCAUGCCUAACACAUGCAAGUCGAACGAGACCUUCGGGUCUAGUGGCGCACGGGUGCGUAACGCGUGGUAACCUGCCCUUAGGUUCGGAAUAACUCCCCGAAAGGGGUGCUAAUACCGGAUAAUGUCUUCGGACCAAAGAUUUAUCGCCUUUGGAUGGGCCCGCGUUGGAUUAGCUAGUUGGUAGGGUAAAAGCCUACCAUGGCGACGAUCCAGAGCUGGUCUGAGAGGAUGAUCAGCCACACUGGGACUGAGACACGGCCCAGACUCCUACGGGAGGCAGCAGUGGGGAAUAUUGGACAAUGGGCGAAAGCCUGAUCCAGCACUGCCGCGUGAGUGAUGAAGGCCUUAGGGUUGUAAAGCUCUUUUACCCGGGAUGAUAAUGACAGUAUCGGGAGAAUAAGCUCCGGCUAACUCCGU
RNAcentral lists this ribosomal RNA (432 nucleotides) under uncultured bacterium. RNAcentral's name for it is "partial 16S ribosomal RNA". It matches the Rfam family "Bacterial small subunit ribosomal RNA", at positions 29 to 506 of the family's 1533-position model. The record is from RNAcentral.